ACCGCGAUAGCUCAGCUGGUAGAGCAUCAGCCCGGUGAGCGGAGUGUUGCCAGUUCGAUCCCGGCUCGCGGCG
RNAcentral lists this transfer RNA (73 nucleotides) under Fasciola hepatica (liver fluke). It matches the Rfam family "tRNA". Rfam says of the family: Transfer RNA (tRNA) molecules are approximately 80 nucleotides in length. Their secondary structure includes four short double-helical elements and three loops (D, anti-codon, and T loops). Lineage: Eukaryota; Metazoa; Platyhelminthes; Trematoda; Plagiorchiida; Fasciolidae. The record is from Rfam by way of RNAcentral.